AGCAACGUACAUCAACAACACCAACUCCAAACAGCGUACAGCUUCAACAACGUUCAUUCUCAACCAGUCAACAACGGGUAUGAAUUUGAUUUUCAGUCCAUCGUUGGCAUAAAAUCAUAGGUCCCAUUUUCAAAUCUGAAACCCUAGACUUUUCCCCCCUUUAUUUUCCUCUAUAAAUAGGGUUUUGAGAGAUAAGGGUUGAGGAGGAGGAUUUUUGGGGAAAAAUUGGAGGUUUUAGAGCCGCGUUCUUCUAACCUCACGUAACCAAAAUUCUCAACGAAUACGCUUCAAAAAUUAGAUUCCGGUGAAGUUGUCGAACUCCAACAAGGAUAGUCGGAACUCCGGUGGUGAGAAUCCGUUAGAUUUAAGGCUUGUUGUCCUAGUUCCUUCCCCGGAAAAGGUAAAAAAUCACCAUCGAUCAUUUGAGUUACAUUAAGUGUAUGUGGUCAUUUGCCACUGUUUUGCCCUUUUAUUGUGCUUAUCGCUUCUCAAUUCUUAAAUAAUGAACUUCAGGAACAUUAGUGAAGUAAAAUCAUGCCAAAACUUCAGGUGUAAUAAUUUUUAUUUUUAUUUUUGGAUUUGUCUAGUCUUCCUGUUUGUGUAGUUUUUUUGGAUACUUUAGGCUAAAUUUCUUAAUGAAUCUCUCGUGAAGUAUUGUUUAAAGGAUCUGUUAGAAAUUCACUAAAGGAAAUUUGGAUUGAAGUUUGUAGCUUUGACACCUUAAGGGCUUCUAGAUAUCAUCUUAGUCAAUAGGGAUCCGAUUUUUGGUGUUAGAUCUCCUUAUUGUGGUAUUUCUUUUAAAUUCAAGUAUAUUUUUAGCUUGAUGGUGGAUUUGCUGUUGUAGCUCUAGGUCCAUUUUCUUAUUUUUGUUGAAUUAGGAUCAGUAAGACCUACCCUAAGAUACACCAAAAUCUUUUAUCUUUUACCCUUAUUGCUUUUUCUUUGUGAAACAUAAACUUCCGAAUAGGUUGUACUCUGUAAAUGUGUCACUGCUUUUAAAUAAGCAAUUUGAAGUUUGUCAGCGCUCCCAUCUCGAACAAUAGCAAGUGCUCUUGUUGUCAUGUAUUUUUUUUAUGUUUUUACGAAUAAGAUGUUGCAUAUAUCUGAUAUCUUUGUGGGAAAAAUUUGGGAGGAGGAACAUUCUCAAUCAAUCAUUUUCUGUUGAAGACAAAAGUGUGAUACUAUUUUGCUUUACUCCACUUGCUUACGUGAAAUCAUUAAAUCACUAGGUAUUUUUUUGAUCCCCUAGAAUCAUGCAUAUAUUUACUUAAAAUCCGACAGAUGUGCAUUUUGUUGUUCUUAGUUGCUCAUUAUGUUGCAUGUCUCCUUGUCUAUUAAAAAUGGAUUAAAUCAUGUUUGAAUUUGGGUCUCGGUUGGCUAUAGUUUACAUUCCCUUGUCCGCUGUGUUGUUAGAUUGUCCGCUGUGUUGUUAGAUUAAAAGCAUGGAGUCCAUGUAUACCAAGGGAUAUUCUUUUCUAUGGGUUGUGUUAUGUUAAGUUUGGAAUUUUGCUUGCAUUAUUUUCUUCCGUUAAAAUGAUUGGCCGAUGUGUGUUGUUACAUGUAUAUUUAGUUUGUGCACUUCACUAAUCCUUUUCUUUUUCUUUGCACGCUCCUUCGCCGAGUUCAAUGGACUCCCCUCUUGCAUUUUCAUCGAAUCCAACUCCACGCCAAGUCCCAAACGGACUGAUACAGUGCUGGUAUACAGCAGAUAUAGACCAGAUAUACAAAAACGCUGGAAGAAAAGGUGCUGAUAUACACACAAUAUACACUUCAGAAAAUGGACUGAAGUCCAUAAUUCCAAUCCCAAAAAUGGGCAGCUUUGUUGUUGGGCCAAUUAAAGGCCCAAUUUAAUUCUUGUAUUAUUUUUUAUAGGCAUAAUACAUAAAUAUGACUCUAAACUUGACACCAAAUUAUAAGUUUGAUCUGAAAUUUUGAUAGUGCACAAAUAGGACCUUUAACUAUUCAAAACCUAAACAAAUAUGAUCUCUGAUUUUGCAAUCCCAUGCGUGAGUUUUACUCGCGCCUAUGUGGAAAACUCAUCCAAUCACACGGUGUCACGUCGUUAAAAGGGCUGACUUGGAGAGGUUAUAUUUGUGCAGUUUUGAAUAGUUAAAGGUCAUAUUUAUGCAGUGUCAAAGUUUUGUUUUUUGUAUUAAAACGGUGUUUAUUAUUAUUAUUAUUAUUAUUAUUAUUAUUAUUAUUUAUUUAUUUAUUUUUAUAGAAGCAGUACUUAGUUUUUUUUUAUUAAAAAAAAAUCACUUGCAGGGAUCGAACCCGCGCAGUAGGCUAAAGGAAGCGCCUAAAAAGAGAAAAUAAUACCAUUGGGCUAUCUAAGUGUCUUGUUUCAUGUGGUUCAAUAUUAAUAUCCGUACAUAAAUAUAGAAUUUCUACUUUAUAUAUAUACAACGUAAUUUUUUUACUGAGGGGGUUCGGGUGAACCCCAUGGCAACCACGUAGAUUCGCCCCCUGCAUUAAUUUAAUAACGUUUUGAUAACGUUAAUUUAAUACUAACAUUUGAAUAACGUUAAUUUAAUAUACUACUACUACUAUCUUUAAUAAUGUUAAUUUAAUAACGUUUUAUUAAAAUUAUAAUUUUUUUUAUUAUUAGUAUAGUUUCAUCUUUAAUUUAAUAUUUAAAUAAAUUAUAUUUAGAUAUAUUAUAUAACAUAAAUUUGCCCUUUGCUUAAUAAUAUAUAUACAUACCCGCGCGAUUUUUUCAUAUGAGGCUGUACCACCUAAUUAAUAAAUCUUUAAUACUGUUCUUUUUCUGCAAUGAUAAAAGAAAUUAGAUCUCAUUUUCAUCUUAGAGUCGAAAAUAAUGAAAAAUAAUAGUAAAAAGUCACUUAAAGGUCAUAUUUGUGUAGUUUAGAAUAGCUAAAGGUCAUAUUUGUGCACUGUCAAAGUUUAAGGUCAAAGUUAUAAUUUGGUGUCAAGUUUAAGGUUAUAUUUAUGUAUUAUGUCCUUAGAUUUUAAGCUAGACGCGCCCAGUUUUGCGUGUUGAACAUGCGUUCUGCCACGUAGGAUCGGAGUUCAUAUUUGUACAGUUUUAACUAGUUAAAGAUCUUAUUUGUGCACUGUCAAAGUUUAAGGUCAAAGUUAUAAUUUAGUGUCAAGUUUAAGAUCAUAUUUAUGUAUUAUGCCUUUUUAAUAGCUUGUAUUGUUUGUUUGUGCUAACUAACAUUUGUAAAUUAAUUAAUCUAGGUAAAUUCCCUAAGAUGUUGUCAUUUUAUUUUUUCUUAGUCCCCUUUCAUUAACUCAUGAUUUUUUCACCUAAUAUUAUUUCGUAUAAAAAUGGUUAAAUUAUUUCCUUCAAUUUUCUUCUUACAACAAAUCGUUUAAAGAUUAAAUAUUUUUAAAUGACAUUUAUUUUGCUCAUGUGAUUAUUAGUUUAUUCAAAUUAAAUUAAUUUUCUUCAAACUCAAGAAACUAAUUUUUCUUGUAAAUUCUAACUUUCUAUAAUUAAUAAGAUACUUUUAAUGUGAUGCACUCUUAAUGUUUUUCUCGAAAAGUGUUAUUCGGACUUUCUAUGGUUUUAAUAGUAAUAAAAAUUAUACAAACUUCUUCUUUUUUCAUAACAAAGACAAAAAUUACUUUCUUAUUAAAGUCCCAAAGAAAUGACAACUUAGUUUAAUUUAAAUAAAGUGUUUUCUCAUUUGAAUAAAUAAAUGUCAUUUUUAAAUGUUUAAAUAAACAUCAAGUUUAAUAUUUUCUAUAAAAUUAAGUCUAUGCAAAAACUAGCCACUUUAAUUAGUCAAGUUAGUUUCUUUUUGGUAAAUUGUUUUAAACGAAUGCUCCUAAGUGUCUUAAAAACCUUCUUAGGACGUUAAUUGAACCCUUACCCAAAAUCUCUAGUUUUAAAGGUUUAUUUCUGUUUUUGAACCGUUGAAACUCUUUUAAAUUUUUCCUUGAUUUUUUCUCUAAAAAUCAAGUGGCGACUCUGUAAAUUUUCUUAAAAUUAUUUUAAAAUUUUCUCAACUUUUUCUUGAAAUAGUUUUAAGAUCAAAAUUAUUUUCCUCGCCAAAUGAAAUUCGAAAGGGAUAAAACAAAAAUAGCGACUUUGCUAGGGAAUUAACUAGGUUCUAACCAAAUAUUUGAUUUCAUCUUUUGAUUAACUCUUUACUCGUUUACGUGUUUAUAUGUUUCGAUUUUGUGGAAUUUAAUUAUUGUAUCUCAUAGCAUAAUCCCGCAUUGAUUUAUUAAAUUAUUUUUAGGUUUCAUGGAUGUCCCGACCCUUAUUGUUCAACUCCAAAUAAAGUGUUGAAAAUACGAUGGUUUAUUAGCACGUGAGGCGUCUGAUGGUUAUUCAUAUUUCCAAACUCAAGUCGUCCGCUUAGGAACCUGGUUCAAACCCACUCUAGACACCUAGGAUAGAGCGAAACCAAAAUCUUAUUUUAGGCAUGAGCCUAGGAUGACCUAAUACUUGAGGGAGUAAUGGGCCCACUAGAAAUCUAGCCCUGCUUCUAUUGACCCCGAGUCAAUUAAAGACGAAUCAUAUUUAUGUGUUGAAUUAAUUUAUCGAAAUCUCAAUUUGAUAUUUAACACUGGGCCUUUGGCUUGAAAGGUUCCACGUAUGCUAGGACGCGUAAUAAUUGUUUAUGUGCUAAAGUGUUUUAUUGUUUUGCUUUGUCUAUGUUUGCUUAUCUGUGUGUUUAAAGAAUACACAUUUGGCUUGAAAUAAGACUAGUUCAUUAUUCCUAUUUCGAAAUCCUAGAGCGCUAAUAGGCAUAUAAGACUCAAAAUUUGAACCCUCCAAAACACCCUUGGAAGUUCGUUGAUAAAAUUCCUUCCAAUUUACCUAAUUUUGUUCAAAUUUCAUUAGGCCAUUAUCUGAUUCACAUUUAUCAUGUUGUCCUCACAACUCAUUUUUUUCGCAUUUGAUUGUAGUCAGAGCUAUCCAAGCAUUCUGUUGAUGAAAAACUAUGAUGUCUUCAAAGAUUUUUAAAUAAGCCUUCUUAGGAUGUUUAUCUGUUAAUAUUCGAUUUUUCAAAUCACUUAGUUCAUCUUGUUCGAAGUUCUAAUUUUUUCCAUCAAAUUCAAGAUCCGCCAAAUGAUCGAAGUUCUGAUCAUUCAGCCACUUUCUUAAGUGUCCUAUCUUCAAAUUCUGGACUUAGUUUGUUUCAAGUCAAAUAUAUAUCAUUUGUUUCGUAUAUUACUUUGGUCAAUCAUCACGAUCAUGAACUAACUCUUUACUUUUUAAGUGUUUUUCUUUCCUUUUAGAGAGAAGGUGAUUUAUGUUGGUAGUCAAAACUUGCUCGCUUCACAACGACAAAGUAAUCGCUGGCAGAACAUCAGUAUUUCACGUUGUCUAAGGUCAAGAAGGCAACUAUAGAUUCAUCAGUUCUUGCUUGGGCUAACAGAAGGACUCGUUCAACUGUGGAUCCUAGUUUGAUUAACACAAGUACUUCAUCUGAGUCAGUUCCCACUUUUUUUGUGGCGAUGAACCCAAGUGCCUUGAUAGGAAGGGAAAUAACCCCAGAACUCGUUGCCGGUUUGGAGCAACAAAUUUCUAAGCUAAGGCCCAUGGUGAUGCAAAGUAGAACACCUUCUCAGACUCUUCCAAACAUGACUCUGCCUCCUGAUGUUCGACAAAAAGGACCUAUGUUUCCAACGCCAAAAGGAGUUGAUCAGGCAAGUUAUUUUGCUCAUGUUUCUUAGAAUGCCCCUUCUGGGUACACAUUUGAUCCUCCAAAGGUUCAAAACAUACCCUUGCCACACCAUGCUAUGUUGCUUCUCCACCUGUGACACAAACUCCAGGAUUAUACUGCUUAGAUGCUAAUCAUUAUGUUGAAACAGGGAAUAAUCCGAGAAUAUACACUGAUGAGACGGUGAACGUAAAGCUUAAGGUCUUGGAAGAUGCAAUGAGAAGCCUUCGGGGGCCUGGGAAUAAUCAAAGUGUCAAGUAUGAAGAGUUGUGUGCAUUUCCCGAGAUCGAGUUGCCUCCUGGUUAUAAGAUCCCAAAGUUUGAAAAGUUUGACAGGUCUGAAAAUCCUUUUUUCCACUUGAGAACUUAUUGUGAAAAGUUGAUUGGUGUGGGCAAGAAUAAAGGAAUACGGGUCAAGCUAUUUAGUCAAAGCUUGAGUGGGAAGGCUCUGGAAUGGUAUGCCAAGCAAGAUGUGACUAAGUGGCGCACUUAGGAUGACCUGGCAAAUUUUUUUGUGGAUCACUACAAGUUUCAUGUUGAUAUCAUUCCUGAUAGGAUCCCUAUCACAAAGCUAAGACAAAGAUCAAAUGAAAAUUUUCGUGAAUAUGCCAUACGCUGGAGGGAAGAAGCAACCAGGGUACAUCCUCCUAUGAAAGAAGCUGAAAUGAUCAGUUACUUCAUCCAUGCGCUGAAUCUAGAAUAUUUUGAUCGCAUGAUAACAAUGGCUGGAAAAAAUUUAUUGAAAUUGUCAAGACUGGAGAAAUGAUUGAGGAUGGCCUCAAGACAGGAAAAAUAAUAAACUUGACAGAACUGUAAUCCACUCACAAAAGCUUCCAGACUGGCUCUUUUGGAAAUGGAAAGAAAAAAAGAAGGAAGUAAUGGGAGUGAUGACUCAAGAGAAAUUGUAACACCCCGAUUUGAUGAACCGGAAUGCUACGCGAUGCUCAUGACCCUGUAGGACCACAAGCUAACCCAUGACUGAUAUCCGUACCUAUAUACUGCAAAAUAUAACAUAAUAAUGUGAAAACAUGCACUAAAAGGCCAUAAGGUUUAAUACUGAACAUAACAUAGAUGAGAUAACAUCUGUGGAGUAAUACAAUACCCAAAACAAAACUAUAAACACUGAAGUCUGAAACAAAAUAGCCUGCAUCUAGUCUGAAAGCCUCUACUGUCUGAAUAAUCUGAAUAAGGAGUUGAUGGUACAUGUCCUCAACUAACUCCAACUAAUAACUAAUCAAUGAAAUAGUGAAGAAAUAAUCAUGUCCUCGAAGGAUGAGGACUCAUUUCUAUUCUGACUGCUGGGACUAGAAUCUACUUCUGAUCUGAAACUCAUAUCUCUAAACCUAUGGUAUAAGACGCCAUAGCGCAAAUGCGUCAGUACUUUGAAUGUAUUGGUAUGCAUGUGGGGUAGGUUGAAUGCAUAGGUUCAUAUGCAUGAACAAUAUUGGCUAACUGACUAACAUGAACGUGAGAAUACAUGCAUGCAUAUAUAGUAACUAUAUAUGAAAUCAUGAUAACAUGAAUACUGAAUCUGAAUACUGAUAACAUGACAUACUGAUAAUUGAUAUAACUGAUAACAUGAGUGACUGUAUCUGACAACCUUGAAUUCUGAAGAACUAUCUGAGUUCUUUUACUGAGACUGAUACUGAGACUGUGGGAGGUAGUCAUCUAAUCGACAUACCCCAAAUGAUGCAUUAUAGCAUUAUAGCUGAAUUGGGGUCCAAUCUAUGCCCUAAUUAGAAGGGUGUCAAUACUGCGCCACUGGUAAGGACAAUAUGUAAGUGACCCUAAUAUAACAGAUAACUCUAGUGAGAACUGUGGGAACCCUCAUAUAGCAGGCUAAGCCACCUCAUCUAUCCUCAUAUAGCUGGCUAUGAUGUCUCAACCAAUGCUAGCUACAUAGUUCUGGAACGUAAGGAUUGCUUCUAAGAAUUACCCCCUCAUAUAAUAGGUGAGUUCCCAUCCUUGGGUUUACUCGGUGCUAAUUUCUACCCCCAUCUGAAUAGACACUGAACAUAAUUUACUAAACUGAUCAUGGACUGAGUUACUGAAUUCCGUUGACUGACAGAAUAUUACUGAUAUCUAACAAUUGACUGAGUUCAUGAGAUCAUAGAUAUUUCCUGAGUCAUAAGACUGUCUGAAGUCUAAGGAUUCAUAGCUUUACUGAUAGUAUCAUGGAAACAUGACAUGGCUCUAACCACACAGCUAAUGUUUCUGGUACAAGUACCCCCAAGACUCGAUGGAGGGAAACUAACCAAGCAUAAGUUACUUGAACAUAUAACUAACAUCAUAAUCCAUAAUACAUUUAUAGAAGCAUUCCAUCAAAACAUGUGAUAGGCAUAACUUGUCCAUACAUGGGGAUUUCAUGAUAUUAUACUAGUUUGGCAUUGUUCCUUCAUCUAGGCAUUUAAUCAAACACAUGGUAAGCAUAGCACAAGUAGACAACAUUAUACAAUAAUUAAUCAUCAUGAUUCAUCUCUAAUUUCAUCAUCUUAGGAUUUAUUCAUAAGUUCACAUGAAUAUACAUCUAUACAAAUCAAUUCCACAUAAAAUUGAUCACCCAACAUGGAUUUGAAUUCAAUUGAUCAUUCUCAACAUAAACAAAAAUAACUCAACAUGAAAUUCAUAAAAAAAUCCAUAAACUUAAUCUUAGAAAAGAGAUUCUUGGGCUUCAUAGAUGAAAGGAGUUCAUGAAUGAACACUACGUAUACCUUAGUUUGUGAUUUCGUAAAGAUUGACGGAGAAACUUUCUUGGAAUUGGAUCUUCUAUGAAAAACCUAGCUUGUUAUUGAGAGGUUUUUGAGAGAAGAGAGUGUAUUUUAGGUGAAGAGUGGUUGAAUCACAUCUUAAAGGGCUUAAAUAGGGGUGGAAAGUUGACCUUUUUAACCCUGGACGCAUUAUUUAAUUUCAGUAAAAUUUUCCUGAACUGAACCCCGAGCGCGACGCGGCACUAUCGCGUUGUCUCACUAGAAUUUGAUAAUUGGGAAACUGAGGGAUGGAAAGACGCAGAGCCAUCGCGUUUCCUCUUCUUUUGUGACCUGAAACUUUAGCGCGACAUGGAGGAAAUCGCGCUAAGACACUGGAAAAGGACAAUUCUAAAUUUGGGCCCUGGCAUGACGCGCCAUAAUCGCUGACCCAUACUGGAAUUUUCCAAAUGCCACUUCCUCUUGUGGCGCGGUGCGCCAUUGACUAAUAUGGCAUUGUUUUAUGACGGAAACAUAAACUAGUCGUAACUUCUGACUCGAUUAUCGAAUUUGGGAGAAUCUUAUAUCGAUGGAAAGCUUAUUGAAUUUCCCACAUGACAAAAAGUUAAAAUCUUGAAAAUUCCUCAUGGAAUAACCAUCAUUCAAUUUAGAAGCUAAUACUAGACAUUCUUGAGAUGAAAUUUGGUAGAAAAAGUACGGGGUAUUACAAUAUCUCCCCUUUGAUAACAUUCAUUCUCGAAUGAGACUGACCGACAGGGGAGAAAAGACGAUUGACGUACAUACUGAACAUGAAUGACUGGAACAUGAUCUCAUGACUGACAUGACUGACAAGCUGAACAUAUAAUACUGAACAUGUAUAUCUGAUGCAUGUGUAACUGAUUCAUGAAUGCAUGACUGAGUAUGCAAUAGUACUUGAUACCAAGUUUAUAAUGGGAACAUGAGCAUGAAAUUGCAUACCAAGUUUGUGAUGAACACUGAACAUGAAACUGAGUAAGCUUAAGGAGAAUUUUUACCUUGAGCUUGAUCUGAGUUAUCAAAGAAGAGGUGAGGAUACUUGGUACGUAUGUAUGUUUCUGCUUCCCAAGUAGCUCCCUCGACGGACUGAUUUUGGCAAAGAACUUUAACUAGAAGGACUUCUUUGUUCCUCAAUCUACGAGUCUAAUAGUCUAAGAUUUUGACUGGAAUCUCCUCAUAAGAAAAAGUGCUCUGAACAUCAAUGCUCUGAAUAGGGACUACAACUGAUGGGUCACCUAUACACUUCUUGAGCAAAGAGACAUAAAAGACUGGAUGAACUGAGGCUAGAUCUGAAGGCAAAUCGAGCUCAUAAGCUACCUUGCUGAAUCGACUGAGAGCUUGAAGGGACCAACGUCUCGGGGACUGAGCUUUCCCUUCUUGCCAAAUCUCUUCACUCUUUUCAUGGGAGAGAUCUUUAGAUAGACAUAGUCACCAAUAUCAAACUCGAUAUCUUUUCUACGAACAUCUGCAUAAGACUUCUGUCGGCUAUGAGCAGCCCGAAGUCUUUCUCUGAUCAACUGGACUUUUUCUAAGGCAUCGAAUACUAAGUCAGGCUCUAUGACUAAGGCCUCACUAACAUCAAACCAACCAAUUGGAGAUCUACAUCUCCUACCAUAGAGAGCUUCGAAUAGAGCUAUCCGAAUAAUGGGAUGAUAGCUGUUGUUGUAUGCAAACUCAAUCAAAGGUAAGUGGUCAUCCCAACUUCCCUUGAAAUUGAUUGCACACACCCUUAGCAUAUCUUCUAACGCCUGAAUGGUCCUUUCUGCUUGACCAUGUGUUUGAGGAUUAAAGGUUAUACUGAGAUGAACUUGGGUACCAAGACCUUUUUGGAAUGCUUUCUAGAAAUAAGAGGUGAACUGGGUACCUCUGUCUGAGAUAAUAGAUAGCGGAACACUGUGCAAUCUAACCAACUUCUUGAUAUAGAGUUUGGAAUAAUCCUCGAUUGAAUAAGAGGUAUGAACUCGAAGAAAAUAAGCUGAUUUGGUCAUUCUGUCUACAAUGGCCCAGUCUGAAUCAUGUGGAAAAUGAGUUUGAGGCAAGCCCAUCACGAAGUCUAUGUUCACAACUUCCCACUUCCAAGUAGGAAUACUUAAAUCCGGCAUGGAUCCACUAGGCUUCUGAUGCUUUAUCUUAACUUGCUAACAUGUAGAGCAUUUAGCCACAAACUCAGCAAUAUCUCUCUUCAUCCCACUCCACCAAUAGAUUUCCCAUAAGUCGCGAUACAUCUUUGUGGCCCCUGGAUGAAUAGAGUAGCGCGCACCAUGCACUUCUGUAAGAAUUCGCUGCCUUAAGUCGUCUACACCUAGAACACAGAGACGACCCUGACAACGUAAAACACUAUCUCCUCCUUAGGAGAAAACAUCUACUUUCUGAUCCUGAACUGACUUUUUCAACUUGACAAGGCUGGGAUCUCUAUCUUGCUUUUCUUUCACCUCAGAAACUAGAGAUGAUUCUGAACUACUCUAAACCCAUAUAUCACCCUCAUCUGUAUCGACUAAGUGGACGCCUAGUCAGGCAAGAUGAUGGACUUCCUAAGCUAACUUCUUCUUACUGUCCUCAACACGAGAAACACUACCCAUGGAUAGUCUACUGAGAGCGUCGGCCACUAUAUUGGCCUUGCCAAGAUGAUAGAGGACACUCAUGUCAUAAUAUUUCAAGAGCUCUAACCACUUUUUCUGAAGAAGAUUGAGAUCUUUCUGAGAAAAGACAGACUGAAGACUCUUAUGAUCUAUGAACACAUCUACAUGAAAAAAUUCAUACUGAAGACUUAUGAUCUGUGAACACAUCUACAUGAACACCAUAUAUAUAAUGCCUCCAAAUAUUUAAGGUAAAUACUAUGGCUGCUAACUCAAGAUCAUAAGUAGGGCAAUUCUUCUAUGGGGCUUAUGCUGUCUGGAGGCAUAGGCUAUGAUCUUACCAUGCUGCAUGAGGACACAACCCAAACCUACUAUGGAUGCAUCACAAUACACUACGAACCCAUUUGGACCAUCUGGUAGAGCUAAAACUGGAGCUGAGGUGAGUCGAGUCUUCAACUCCUAAAAACACUUCUCGCAAGGAUCUGACCACUGAAACUUAACUUUCUUCCGAGUCAAUUUGGACAUAGGGGAUGCAAUAGAAGAAAAUCCCUCAACAAACCAUCUGUAAUAGCUAUCCAAAUCCAAGAAACUCCUAAUAUCUGAUGGAGAGAUAGGUUUGGGCCAAUUUCUUACUGCUUCGAUCUUCUAAGGAUCAACUCUAACGCCAUCACCAAAAAUGAUAUGACCAAGGAAUGCUAUUGACCUUAGCCAAAAUUUGCACUUAUUGAAUUUGGUGAAUAGCUGAUGAUCUCUGAGAGUCUGAAAUACUGUCCUAAGAUGGUCUGCAUAAUUAUACUCACUGCGGGAAAGACCAGAAUAUCUAUGAAGACGAUGAUGAAUAUGUCCAAGUACUGCUUGAACACACGGUUCAUCAAGUCCAUGAAAGCGGCUGGGGCGUUGGUAAGACCAAAUGACAUGACUAGAAAUUUGAAGUGACCAUACCGAGUUUGAAAAGCUAUUUUUGGAAUUUCACAUUGCCUAACUCUGAGAUGAUGAUAGCCGGAUCCGAGAUCUAUCUUAGAAAAAUAAUUGGCACCCUGAAGUAGGUCAAACAAGUCAUCGAUUCUGGGAAGAGGAUACUUGUUCUUGACCGUGACCUUAUUGAGUUAGCUGUAGUCUAUACACAUUCUGAGAGAACUGUCUUUCUUGCGCACGAAUAAUACUAGAACACCCCACGGGGAAACCCUGAGCCUUCUGAAUCCCUUAUCUAAGAGAUCUUUCAAUUGUUCUUUUAGUUCUCAUAGUUCUGUUGGUACCAUUCUAUAUGGCGAAAUAGAGUAGGCUGAGUAUUUGGAAGAAGAUCAAUACCGAAGUCUAUUUCCCUUUCAGGAGGAAUUCCUAGAAGAUUUUUGGGAAAUACAUCUGAAUAUUCAUUCACUACUGGGACUGAUUCAAGUUUGGAAGUUUCGGAACUAGUGUCCUUAACUCGAACAAGAUGAUAGACACAUCCAUUAGAUAUCAUUUUUCUUGCUCGAAGGUAGGAAACAAGCUGACCCCUGAAAGCGGAUACACUACCCUUCCACUUAAGGAUGGGUUCAUUUGGGAACUGAAACUAGACUAUUCUAUUUCUGCAAUNNNNNNNNNNNNNNNNNNNNNNNNNNNNAUCUAGGUCAAAAAUAACGUCAAAAUCAAUCAUCUCUAAUUCGACUAAGUCUGCUGAAGUGACUCUGAAAUAUCAUAAUCGGGCAGUUCCUGUAUACCCGUCGAGCUUUAAUGGUUUUACCCACUAGGGUAGAGACUAAAAAGGGCUCUGCUAGGAUUUCGGGACUGAUUUCGAAAUCGCUUGCUAUAUAGGGAGUAACAAAAGAUAAAGAAGCUCCUGGAUCUAGCAAAGCGUAAACAUGCAUAUAAAAGAUCUGUAACAUACCAGUAACUACAUCAGGAGAAUUUUUCUGAUCUUUUCAAGACUGAAGAGCAUAGAAACGAUUUGGGUGUUGCCUACUAGUAGCACUGGAGGUGGCACCCUGCUGAUUUGGGCGACCGAACUAAGCUGAGAAGAGAUUCUAUUGGCCCUGAGGACCUGGCUGAGGGCAGUCUCUGACUCUGUGGCUUGGCUUGCCACAUCCAAAACAAAUACCACAGCCAGCUCUGCAAAUACCCUAAUGGUAUUUGCCACAAGUCUGGCAAAGAGGAUAGGUGCAGGCACUACUAACACUGCCUUGGGACUUAGAGCCUGGCACUCUUUCAUUGUUACCUUCUCUAAACUUAAGAACUGGAGCACUGGCUGAAGAAGGAGCUGGAACUGAUAACUUAGGAUGAAACUGAGAACAGUUUCCUCCUUCUAACUUAGGUUGAGCGAAGUUGAAACUACAUGUCUUCGCUCUCUUAUUCUGCUUUUCCCUCAUCUUAAUCUUUUGCUCCUCAAUCUGCUGAGCAUGAGUCAUAAUCCUGGCUAAAGUCAUGUCACUAUUCAGCAUGACAGAUCUGCACUCAUUAACCACGCUAUCAUUCACCCCUAAAACGAACUUACUCAUCCUUGCCCUGCUAUCUGCAACCACAUGAGGGGCAUAUCUGGCUAAUUGAGUAAACUUAGGAGAAUACUCUUUCACUGUCAUAUUGCCCUGCCUGAGGUUGAUGAAUUCUAACACCUUAGUUUCCCUAAGCUCUUGGAGGAAUAAUCUAUCCAGGAAAGUAGAAGUAAACUCCUCCCACUCAACUGGCCCUGCAUCAUCUGCCCUCUCUGACUUCCACUACUUGAACCAAGUAUGAGCAACAUCCUGUAACUGAUAUGCAGCUAGCUCAGUACUCUCAACAAUAGUCACCCCCAUGAUGUUUGUUACCUUCUGCACCUGAUCUAGGAAUUCCUAAGGGUCCUCAUCUGUCUUAGACCCGAGAAAAGAUGGAGGAUUCAUUCGAGUGAAAUCCUAAAUCCUAGCUGUAGCUGAAUUGGCCACUGGAUUGGUCGGAACGACAGCUGGUCAUUCAUUCUGAGAAACAACUGAGUUAGCAAGAGUAGUGUCGAAACUCUGUAUGAGAAACAUGAUCGCCAAAAGGAUCUUCGAGUUGGGGGCCUGACUGAUUUUAGUUUCUUCUUUUAGGAGGCAUAUUCUGUAGAUGAAAGGGAGAAAUAGAUUAGACUGAGAGAUGACUUGAGAUUAUGCUCACUGGCACGACAUGAAUACUGAAAGAGGGGAAGCUGUUCCUAAAACAUAUUAUAGCCUCUUGUACAUAAAUAUGGCGCGCAACACACCCAUGUAUAAGACUCUACUAUAUGCGGCUUUCUGACUUCCUAGGACUCUAUUGAACCUUAGGCUUUGAUACCAAGUUUGUAACACCCCGAUUUGUUGAACUGGAAUGCUACAUAGUGCUCAUGACCCUGUAGGACCACAAGCUAAUCCAUGACUAAUAUUCGUAUCUAUAUACUAUAUAAUAUAACAUAAUAAUGCGAAAACAUGCACUAAAAGGUGUAAGGCCACGUAAAGUUCCCUCAUAGUUUGAGUCGUAGGGCGUGUCGAGUGAGGCGUGAUUUUAACCCUAAAAUAUUGAGAAGUUGCUUCCUAAGUGAGUAACGUGUUAACUAUAUAGAAUUUCCCUAAUUUCUACUUUUUAUCAUAUGGGAAAUCUGAUAAGCUUUCCAUCGAUAUAAGAUUUUCCCAAAUCCAACACUCAGGUAAGAAGUUAUGGCUAAUUUAAGCCUUAGUCAUAAAACUGCAUCAUUUAACUGUCUGGCGCAUCGCGAAGAGGGCUGAUUUGGAAAUUGCCAAUUUCUAAUGGAACCCCAUGAUAGUGGCGCGUCGCGGAGGAGUCCCAGGUCCCAACCAGUGGGAAAAUACGAUGGCUCCACAUCGCGGAGGCUGUCAAUUUCCCAAUUGUCAAAUUCCAGUGAGCCACCGUGAUAAGUGGCGCAUCGCGGAGGCCAAUGAAAUCGGGUUCCAUCUCAAUUUUUCCAGUUUUGCACUGAUGUUUAAAAGGGCACUUUGGACAUUUUCCAAGCCUAUAAAAUCGUGGAAACACUAAAUCAAAGUCAUUUACAAGCAUCUUAUGAGGUUUUUCUCAAGUUCUCUCUCAACAUAAACCCUAAGUAUCCAAAAACUCUUCCAAGAAUCUCAAGAAUCCACCAUGGAUUUCCUAAAUUAAGUCAAGAUUCAAGGUUCCCAAGUCAGGGACCUCAAGAACCCUCAUUCUAGAGCACGAAUAGAGUUGCAAAAGUGAGAGUUCAUCAAAAUUUUCUAAUUCAAGGUAUGUGGGGGUUUUGAACAAGGGUAACCCUUUCACCCUUGUCUCCAAAAGGCUAUUUACAUCAUGAAAUUCUUGAAAUAUAUGAGGUUGUUACAUGAAUUUGAAUUGGGUUUUUAUUGAAUACAUUAUAUUGAUAUUUCCCGUGAAUUAAGAGUCAAAUCGCAUAAUUUCUACAUGUUUUCUUAAGUAUUUACAGCUGGGUAUAAACCCCAUGAUUUUACUCCUUGAUAAGCUAACAUUUGCAUUGUUGAGAUAUUGAAGCAUAUGGCUAUAUUGAAAUUUUGGGGUAACUUGCUGAAAUUCCCAGAUUUCCACAUGAUUUAUGAAUCUAUGUGCUAUAUAUUAUACUUUGGAUAAGCUUUAACUUGAGAUUGAAUAAUGGGUUAGUAAGCCCUAUUUGAGACUUGGGUUAGUAAGCCCUAUUUGAUACUUGUGAAAUUAUGAACUCUUGUGCUAUGAGCACCCAUGUUUUGAGUAUUUUGAGAUGAUUGAGAAAUAAAUUGACCUAAUGCUCCUUGUGCUUUGAAAUCCACUUCACUAUAUGAGAUUAUCAAUUUGAUUAUUGGGUUCAUGGUGAACCAUGUAAUUAUUCUAAAAGUGGAUUUUUUUAGAUGAGCACAGAUAAUCUAAAGGGAGUAGUAUUUAGCACCGAGUGGGUAAGUUACUACAGUUUCUUACCCCAAAACUACGUGCCACCGUAGGUUGGGCCUGAGGCCAAGUUUAUGAUGAUUAUGAUUAGGCCUGAGUCGAGUUUUAUUUAGUGAUCACUAGACCUAGGUUAUACUCCCUGGCAAAAGUAUGANNNNNNNNNNNNNNNNNNNNNNNNNNNNNNNNNNNNNNUUGGACUCCAUGUAGCUCGCAUGGUUUAUGUCGGUUACGAGAACCUCCCUUGACAUUUAGACUUCAAGAUCAAAUACUUAUUUUCCUUCCCUAUAAGUUAUUUUCCUAAAUGGUUGAAUUGCAAAGAUGUUUCCCCAACUAAAGUAUUUUCUUGAUGUGAGUUAUUUCCUAAAUGAAAGCAUCUUUCCUUUUAUAGUACUUUUUAUAAAGCCUUGAGAUAAGUUGUUUCCAUAAAUUAGAAUGCCUUUUCCAUUUGAGAUGGAGUGAUUUCCCUAAAGCUUGAAAUGAGAUAUUUUCCUAAAGUGAAUAAAAUACCUUCAAGUAUGUUUCCAAGUUAUAUGAUUCCAAAUUUCAAGUAUAUGAGUUCUAAAUAGUUAUGAAAUGUUGAGCAUUGAAGAAGUUUUACCCUCCAUGAGACUUAUGCAUGAGUUGAAAGUAUUGUUUAAAGUCCCUUAGCCUUUGGGUAUUAAGAACAAGAGAAGAUUUUGAAUUUUUGGGAUUAAACAAUGAUGACUCACGAGAUUUGUGCUACAUACUCCAUUCUACAUGACUUGUGAGCUUUAUAUUUUGUACUUGUUCAAUCCAUGUGAGUCGUCUCAUAAUGCAUACAUGAUUUGAUUAAAGAAGAUUGUUACUAUUUUAUUCAUAUGCAUUCACCCCCGCAUACUCAGUACAUUCCAAGUAUUGAUCCACAUAUAUGUCUAUGUGCUACAUUGUGUCAUAAUGUAGGUUCGGUGCUUAGUCCCAGCCUCGCUCAUGAUUCUUCGAGUACCUUGCCUACGUUUUCUAUAGUGGUGAGUCGUUAUGAUUCAUGGACCGAUCUUCAGAUAUUUACCGUACUUGAGAGACUACCGUACUUGAGACUAUGUUUUAUCUUCAAUUCAUUUCAAGUCAGUUGAGGACCUAUCCCAACGGCUCUCUAGAUUUUGAUUUGUAGAUGCUUGCCAGACUAGUGUCAGACUUGUGAUGUGUUGAGGGUUUGAUAUUAUGGUUUUGUUGAGAUUUCUCUAUAUUGUGGUCUAAUGGACCAGGUAUUUUUUCCAUAUUUCCUUUCAUGAGAUAUGACUAUGCUAGUGUUGAGUCCAUUCUUAUCUUAAAUUGAGUGUCAUUGGUGGAAAUCGGCUCUAAGGGUUAGCUUGGGGCUACUCGUAGCCUUAGGCAUCGUAUGACAUCCCGGGAGAUGAUUUUGGGUCGUUACAAAAGCCUAUAAGGUUCAAUACUGAACAUAACAUGGAUGAGAUAACAUCUGUGGGGUAAUACAAUACCCAAAACAAAACUGUAAAGACUGAAAUCUGAAAUAUAAUAGCCUACAUCUAGUCUGAAAGACUCUACUGUCAGAAUAAUCUGAAUAAGGAGUUGAUAGGACAUGUCCCCAACUAAAUCUAACUAAUAACUAAUCAAUGAAAUAGUGGAGAAAUAAUCAUGUCCUCGAAGGAUGAGGACUCACUUCUAUUCUGACUGCUGGGACUGGAAUCUACUGCUGAUCUAGAACUCGUAUCUCUAAACCAAUGGUAUAAGACACCAUAGCACAAAUGCGUCAGUACUUUGGAAGUACUGGUAUGCAUAUGGGGUAGGCUGAAUGCAUGGGAUUCAUAUUCAUGAAUGAUACUGGCCAACUGACUAAUAUGAACAUGAGAAUACAUGCAUGCAUACAUAGUAACUAUAUCUGAAAUCAUGAUAACAUGAGUACUGAAUCUGAAUACUGAUAACAUGACAUACUGAUAACUGAUAACAUGAGUGACUAUAUCUGACAGUCCUAAAUCUGGUGGAACUAUCUGAGUUUCAUACUAUGUCUGAGUUGACUAUAUCUGACAGCCCUGAAUUCUGAAGAACUAUCCAAGUUCUUUUACUGAGACUGUGGGAGGUAGUCAUCUAACCGACAUGCCCCAAAUAAUGCAUUAUAGCUGAAUUGGGGUCUAAUCUAUGCCCUGAUUGGAAGGGUGUCAAUACCAUGCCACUUGUAAGGACAACAUAUGAGUUACCCUAAUAUAACACGUAACUCUAGUGAGAAUGGUGGGAACCCUCAUAUAGAAGGCUAAGCCACCUCAUCUACCCUCAUAUAGCAGGCUAUUAUGUCUCAACCUAUGCUGGCUACAUAGUUCUGGAACGCAAGGAUUGCUUCUAAGAAUCACACCCUCAUAUAACAGGUGAAUUCCCGUCCUUGGGUUCACUCGGUGCUAAUUUCUUCUCCCAUCUGAAUAGACACUGAACAUAAUUUACUGAACUGAACAUGGAUUGAGUUACUGAAUUCUGUUGACUGAUGGAAUAUUACAGAUAUCUGACAACUGACUGAGUUCAUGAGAUCAUGGAGAUUUCCUGAGUCAUAAGACUGUCUAAAGUCUAAGGAUUCAUAGUGACUGAGAGUAUCGUGGAAACAUGACAUGGCUCUAAGCACACUGCUAAUGUUUCGGGUACAAAUACCCCCAAGACUCGAUGGAAGGAAACUGACCAAGCAUAAGUUACUUGAACAUAUAACUAACAUCAUAAUCCAUAAUACAUUUAUAGAAGCAUUCCAUCAAAACAUGUGAUAGGCAUAACUUGUACAUACAUGGGGAUUUUAUGAUAUCAUACUAGUUGGGCAAUGUUCCUUCAUCUAGGCAUUUAAUCAAACACAUGGUAGGCAUAGCACAUGUAGACAAUAUUAUACAAUAAUUAAUCAUCAUGAUUCAUCUUUAAUUUUAUUAUCCUAGGGUUUAUUCAUAGGUUCUCACGAAUAUACAUCUAUACAAAUCAAUUCCACAUAAAAUUGAUCACCCAACAUGGAUUUGAAUUCAAUUGAUCAUUCUCAACAUAAACAAAACUAACCCAACAUGAAAUUCAUAAAGAAAUCAAUAAACUUAAACUUAGAAAAGAGAACCUUAGGCUUCAUAGAUGAAAGGAGUCCAGGAAUGAACACUAUGCAUACCUUAGUUCGUGAUUUCAUAAAGAUUGAUGGAGAAACUUUCUUGGAAUUAGAUAUUUUAUGAAAACCCUAGCUUGUUCUUGAGAUGUUUUUGAGAGAAGAGAGUGUAUUUUGGGUAAAGAGUGGCCAAAUCACAUUUUAAAGGGCUUAAAUAGGGGUGGAAAGUUGACCUUUUUAACCCUGGACGCAUCAUUUAAUUUCAAUAAAAUUUUCCCGAACUAAACCCCUGGCGCAACGCGGUGCUGUCGCACUGUGUCACUAGAAUUUGACAAUUGGGAAAUUGAAGGAUGGUGCGAAAUGGAGCAAUCGCGUUGCCCCUUCUUUUAUAAUCUGGAACUUUGGCGCGGCGCGGAGGAAAUCGCGCUAAGACACUAGAAAAGGACAAUUCUAAAUUUUGGCCCUGGUGCAACGCGCCAUAAUUGCUGACCUAUACUGAAAUUUUCCAAAUGUCAUUUCCUCUUGUGGCGCGACGCGCCACUGACUAAUAUGGCAUUAUUUUACAAUAGGAACUUAAAAUAGUCGUAACUUCUGAUUCAGUUAUCGAAUUUGGGAGAAUCAUAUAUCGAUGGGAAGCUUAUUGAAUUUCCCACUUGACAAAAAAUAAAAAUCUUGAAAAUUCCUCAUGGAAUAACCAUCAUUCAAUUUAGAAGCUAAUACUGGACAUUCUUGAGAUGAAAUUUUCUAGGAAAAGUAUGGGGUAUUACAACAUCUCCCCCUUGAGAACAUUCAUCCUAGAAUGAGAUUGACUGAGAGGGGUGAAAAGGCAACUGACGUACAUACUGAACAUGAAUAACUGGAACAUGAUCUCAUAACUGACAUUACUGAUAAGAUGAACAUAUAAUACUAAACAUGCAUAUCUGAUGCAUUUGUAACUGAUUCAUGAAUGUAUGACUAAGUAUGCAAUGGUACUUGAUACCAAGUUUAUAAUGGGAGCAUGAGCAUAAAACUGCAUACUAAUUUUGUGAUGAACACUAAACAUGAAACUGAGUAAGCUUAAGGAGAACUGUUACCUUGAGCUUGAUCUGAGUUGGCGAAGAAGAGGUGAGGAUACUUGGUACGCAUGUCUGCUGCUGCUUCCCAAGUAGCUCCCUCGAUAGACUGAUUUUGCCAAAGAACUUCAACAAGAGGGACUUCUUUGUACCUCAAUCUACGAGUCUGAUAGUUUGAGAUUUCGACUGGAAUCUCUUCAUAAGAGAGAGUGUUCUAAAAACCAAUGCUCUGAAUAGGGACUACAACUGAUGGGUCACCUAUGCACUUCUUGGGCAAAGAUACAUGAAAGACCGGAUAAACUGAGGCUAGAUCUGAAAGCAAGUCGAGCUCAUAAGCUACCUUGCCGAAUCGACUGAGAAUCUUGAAGNNNNNNNNNNNNNNNNNNNNNNNNNNNNNNNNNNNNNNNNNNAUAGAUAUAGUCACCAUAUCAAACUUGAGAUAUUUUCUACGGACAUCUGUAUAAGACUUCUAUCGGCUCUGAGCUUCCCGGAGUCUUUCUCUGAUCAACUAGACUUUUUCUAAUACGUCGAAUACUAAAUCAGGCCAUAUUACUAAGGCCUCACUAACUUUGAACCAACCAAUUAGAGAUCUACAUCUCCUACCAUAGAGAGCUUCAAAUCUAGCCAUCCGAAUACUAGAAUGAUAGCUGUUGUUGUAUACAAACUCAAUCAAAGGUAAGUGGUCUUCCUAACAUCCCUUGAAAUUGAUUGCACACGCCCUUAGCAUAUCUUCUAACGUCUGAAUGGUCCUUUAUUCUUGACCAUCUGUCUAAGGAUUAAAGGUUAUACUGAGAUAAACUUAGGUACCAAGAACCUUUAGGAAUGCUUUCCAGAAAUGAGAGGUGAAUUGGGUACCUCUGUCAGAGACAAUAGAUAGCGGAACACCGUACAAUCUGACCAACUCCUUGAUGUAGAGUUUGGUGUAAUCCUCAGCUGAAUAAGAGGUAUGAACUAGAAAGAAAUAAGCUGAUUUACUCAUUCUAUCUACAAUGGCCCAGACUGAAUCAUGUUGACGACGAGUUCGAGGAAAACCCAUCACAAAAUCCAUGUUCACAACUUUCCACUUCCAAGUAGGAAUAAUUAACUCCUGCAUGGAGCCAUUAGGCUUCUGAUGCUCUAUCUUAACUUGCUGACAUGUAGAACACUUAGCCACAAACUCUGCAAUGUCUCUCUUCAUCCCACUCUACUAAUAGAUUUUCUAGAAGUUGUGAUACAUCUUUAUGGCCCCUGGAUGAAUAGAGUAGCGUGCACAAUGCGCUUCUACAAGAAUUCGCUGCCUUAAGUCUGCUAUGCCUGAAACACAGAGACGACCCUGACAACGCAAAACACCAUCUCCCCCUUAGGAGAAAACCUCUACUUUCUGAUUCUGAACUAACUCUUUCAACUUAACAAGGUUGGGAUCUCUAUCUUGCUUUUCUUUCACCUCAGAAACUAGAGAUGACUGAACUACUCUGAACCCAUAUAUCACCCUCAUCUGUAUCGACUAAGCGAAUGCCUAGUUUGGCAAGCUAAUGGACCUCCUGAGCUAACUUCUUCUUACUAUCCUUAACAUGAGAAACACUGCCCAUGAAUAGUCUACAGAGAGCGUCGGCCACUACGUUGGCCUUGCCAGGUAAUAGAGGACACAAAUGUUGAAAUCUUUUAAGAGCUCUAACCACCUUCUCUGAUGAAGAUUGAGAUCUUUCUGAGAAAAGACAUACUGAAGACUCUUAUGAUCUGUGAACAUAUCUACAUGAACACCGUAUAGAUAAAUGCCUCCAAAUCUUUAAGGCAAAUACUACGGCUACUAACUCAUGAUCAUGAGUAGGGUAAUUCUUCUCAUGGGGCUUAAUCUGUCUAGAGGCAUAGGCUAUGUCCUUAUCAUGUUGCAUGAGGACACAACCCAAACCUACUCUGGAUGCAUCACAAUACACUAUGAACCCAUCUGGACCAUCUGGAAGAGCUAAAAUUAGAGCUGAGGUAAGUCGAGUCUUUAACUUCUGAAAACUCUUCUCGUAAUGAUCUGACCACUAAAACUUAACUUUCUUCUGAGUCAAUCUGGACAUAGGGGAUGUAAUAGAAGAAAAUUCCUCAUUAAACCAUCUAUAAUAGCCAGCCAAACCCUAGAAACUGCUAAUAUCUGAUGGAGAGAUAGGUCUGGGCUAGUUUCUUACUGCUUUGGUCUUUUGAGGAUCAACUCUAGUGCCAUCACCGAAAAUUAUGUGACCAAGGAAUGCUACUGACCUUAACCAAAAUUUGCACUUACUAAAUUUGGUGAAUAGCUGAUGAUCUCUGAGAGUCUGAAGUACUAUCUUGAGAUGGUCUGCAUGAUCACGCUCAUUGUGGGAAUAGACCAGAAUAUCAUCUAUGAAGACUAUGACAAACAUGUCCAAGUACAGCUUGAACACAUAGUUCAUCAAGUCCAUGAAAGCAGCUGGGGCGUUGGUAAGAAAAAAUAACAUGACUAGAAAUUCAAAGUGACCAUACCGAGUUUGGAAUGCUAUUUUUACAAUGUCACAUUCCCUAACUCUAAGAUGAUGAUGGCCGAAUCUGAGAUCUAUCUUAGAUAAAUAACUGGCACCCUAAAGUUGGUCAAACAAUUCAUUGAUUCUGUAAAGAGGAUACUUGUUCUUGACUGUGACCUUAUUAAGUUAGCAGUAGUCUAUACACAUUCUAAGAGAACUGUGUUUCUUGAACACUAAUAAUACUGGAGCGCCCCGCGAGGAAACGCUGGGCCUGAUGAAUCCCUUAUCUAAGAGAUCCUUCAAUUAUUCUUUCAGUUCUCUGAGUUUUGUUGGUGCCAUUCUGUAUGAUGAAAUAGAGAUAGCCUGAGUAUUUGGAAGAAGAUCAAUGCCAAAGUCUAUUUCUCUUUCGGGAGGAAUUCCUGGAAAAUCUUUGGGAAAGACAUCCGAAUAUUCAUUCACUACUGGGACUAAUUCAAGGCUGGGAGUUUUGGAACUAGUGUCCUUAACUUAAAUAAGAUGAUAGACACAUCCUUUAGAUAUCAUUUUCAUUGCUCAAAGGUAUAAAACAAGCUAACCCCUAAAAGCGAAUAUACUACCCUUCCACUCAAGGACGGGUUCAUUUGGGAACUAAAACUGGAUUAUUCUAUUUCUGCAGUCAACUGUGGCAUAGCAGUAAUGAAGCCAAUCCAUGCCGAGAAUUACAUCAAAAUCAGUCAUCUCUAAUUCAACUAAGUCUGCUGAAGUGACUUUCCAAAAUAUCAUAAUCGGGCAGUUCCUGUAUACCCACCAGGCUAUAAUAGUUUUACCCACUGGGUAGAGACUGAAAAGGGCUCUGCUAGGAUUUUGGGACUGAUUUUGAAAUCGCCUGUUAUAUAGGGAGUAACAAAUGACAAAAAGCUCCUGGAUCUAACAAAGUGUAAAUAUGCACAUGAAAGAUUUGUAAUGUACCAGUAACUACAUCAGGAGAAUUAUCCUGAUCUUAUCGGGACUGAAGAGCAUAAAGACGAUUUGGGCUUUGCCUACUAGUAGCACUGGAGGUGGUACCCUGCUGAUUUGGGUGAUCGAACUAAUUUGAGGAGCAAUUCUGUUGGCCCUAAGGACCUGGAUGAGGAUAGUCUCUAACUCUGAAACAAAUACCACUGCCAGCUCUGCAAAUACCCUGAUAGUAUUUGCCAUAAAUAUGGCAAAGAGGAUAGGUGCGGGUACUGAUAACACUGCCCUGGGACUUAGAGCCUAGCGCUCUAUCUUUGUUACCCUCUCUAAACUUAGGAACUGGAGAACUAGCUGAAGAAGGAGCUGGAACUGAUGACUUAGGAUGAAACUGAGAAUGGUUUCCUCCUUCUGACUUAGGAUGAGCAAAGUUGAAACUACCUGUCUUCGCUCUCUUAUUCUACCUCUCCCUCAUCUUAAUCAUUUGCCCCAGAAUCUUCUAAGCAUGAGUCAUAAGCCUGGCUAAAGUCAUGUCACUAUUCAUCAUGGCGGAUCUACACUUAUUAACCAUGCUAUCAUUCACCCCUGAAACCAACUUACUCAUUCUUGCCCUGCUAUCUGUAACCACAUAAGGGGCAUAUCUAGCUAAUUGAGUAAACUUAAGAGAACGCUCUUUCACUAUCAUAUUACCCUGCCUGAGGUUGAUGAAUUCUAACACCUUAGCUUCCCUAAGCUCUAGGGGGAAGAAUCUACCGAGGAAAGAAGAAGCAAACUCCUCCCACUCAACUAGCCCUGCAUCAUCUGUCCUCUCUAACUUCCACUACUUGAACCAAGUGUGAGUGAUAUCCUACAACUGAUAUGCAUCUAGCUCAGCACUAUUAACAGCAUUCACCCCUAUGAUAUCUGUCACCUUCUGCACCUGAUCUAGGAAUUCCUGAGGGUCCUCAUCUAUCUUAGACUCGAGAAAAGAUGGAGGAUUUAUUUGGGUGAAAUCUCGAAUCCUGGUUGUAGCUGAAUUGGCCACUAGAUUGGUUGGAACGACAGUUGGUCAUUCAUUCUGAGCAGCAACUGAGUUAGCAAGAGUAGUGAAUGUAGCUCAAAACUCUACAUGAGAAACAUGAUUGCCUAAAGGAUCUUCGGGCUAGGGGCUGACUGAUUUCCGUUUCUUCUUUUAGCAGGCAUUUUCUAGAAGAAAGGGAGAAAUAGAUUAGACUGAGAGAUGACUUGAGAUUAUGCUCACUGGCAUGACAUGAAUACUGAAAUAGGGGAAACUAUUCCUAAAACAUCUUAUAGCCUCUUGUACAUAAAUGUGGCACGCAACACACCCAUGUACAAGACUCUACUAGAUAUGUCUUUCAGACUUUCUAGGACUCUAUUGAACUUUAGGCUCUGAUACCAAGUUUGUAACACCCCGAUUUGCUGAACCAAAAUUCUACACGGUGCUCAUGACCCUGUAGCACCACAAGCUAACCUAUGAUUGAUAUCCGUACAUAUAUACUACAUAAUAUAACAUGAUAAUGUGGAAGCAUGCACUAAAAGGCCAUAAGGUUCAAUAUUGAACAUAACAUGGAUGAGAUAACAUCUGUGGGGUAAUACAAUACCCAAAACAAAACUGUAAACACUAAAGUCUGAAAUAUAAUAGCCAGCAUCUAGUCUUAAAGCCUCUACUGACUGAAUAAUCUGAAUAAGGAGUUCAUGGGACAUGUCCCCAACUAACUCCAACUAAUAACAAAUCAUUGAAAUAGUGGAGAAAUAAUCAUGUCCUCGAAGGAUGAGGACUCACUUCUAUUCUGACUACUGGGAUUGGAAUCUACUGCUGAUUUGGAACUCGUGUCUCUAAACCUAUAGUAUAAGACACCAUAGCGCAAAUAUGUCAGUACUUUGAAUGUACUGGUAUGCAUGUGGGGUAGGCUGAAUACAUGGGGCUUAUAUGCAUGAACAAUACUGGCUAACUAACUAAUAUGAAUGUGAGAAUACAUGCAUGCAUACAUAGUAACUAUAUCUAAAAUCGUGAUAACAUGAGUACUGAAUCUGAAUGCUAAUAACAUGACAUUCUGAUAACUGAUAUAACUGAUAACAUGAGUGACUAUAUCUGACAGUUUUGAAUCUGGUGGAACUAUCUGAGUUUCGUACUGUGUCAUAGUGGAUUGUAUCUGACAGCUCUGAAUUCUAAAAAACUAUCUGAGUUCUUUUACUGAGGCUGAUACUGAGACUGUGGGGGUAGUUAUCUAACCGACAUGCCUCAAAUGAUGCAUUAUAGCUGAAUUGGGGUCCAAUCUAUAUCCUGAUUAGAAGGGUGUUAAUACCGCGCCGAUGGUAAUGACAACACGUGAGUGACCCUAAUAUAACAGGUAACUCUAGUAAGAACGGUGGGAACCCUCAUAUAGCAGGCUAAGCUACCUCAUCUACCCUCAUAUAGCAGGCUAUGAUGUCUCAACCUCUGUUGGCUACAUAGUUCUAAAUGCAAGGAUUGCUUCUAAGAAUCACACCCUCAUAUAACAGGUGAGUUCCCAUCCUUGGGUUCAUUCGGUGCUAAUUUCUACUCCUAUCUGAAUAAACACUGAACAUAAUUUACUGAACUAAACAUAGACUGAGUUACUGAAUUCUGUUGAUUGACGGAAUAUUACUGAUAUUUGACAACUGACUGAGUUCAUGAGAUCAUAGAGAUUUCCUGAGUCAUAAGACUGUCUAAAGUCUAAGGAUUCAUAGCUUGACUGAGAGUAUCGUGGAAACAUGACAUGGCUCUAAGCACACUGCUAAUAUUUCGGGUACAAGUACCCCCAGGACUCGAUGGAAGAAAACUGACCAAGCAUAACUUACUUGAAAAUGUAACUAACAUCUUAAUCCAUAAUACAUUUAUAGAAACAUUCCAUCAAAACAUGUGAUAGGCAUAACGUGUACAUACAUGGGUAUGUUAUGAUAUCAUACUAGUUGGGCAUUGUUCCUUCAUCUAGGCAUUUAAUCAAAUACAUGGUAGGCAUAGCACAUUUAGACAAUAUUAUACGAUAAUUAAUCAUCAUGAUUCAUCUCUAAUUUCAUCAUCCUAGGGUUUAUUCAUAGGUUCACAUGAAUAUACAUAUAUACAAAUCAAUUCCAUAUAAAAUUUAUCACCCAACAUGGAUUUGAAUUUAAUUGAUCAUUCUCAACAUAAACAAAACUAACCCAACAUGAAAUUCAUAAAAAAUCCAUAAACUUAAUCUUAGAAAAGAGACUCUUGGGCUUCAUGGAUGAAAGGAGUCCAUGAAUGAACACUACGCAUACCUUAGUUCGUGAUUUCAUGAAGAUUGACGGAGAAACUUUCUUGGAAUUGGAUCUUCUAUGAAAACCCUAGCUUGUUCUUAAGAGGUUUUUGAGAGAAGAGAGUGUAUUUUAGGUGAAGAGUAGCUGAAUCAUGUAUUAAAGGGCUAAAAUAGGGGUGGGAAGUUGACCCUUUUAACCUUGGACGCGUCAUUUAAUUUCAGUAAAAUUUUCCUAAACUGAACCCCUGGUGCGAUGCGGCUAUCGUGCCAUGUCACUGCAAUUUGACAAUUGAGAAACUGAGGGAUGGAGCGACGCGGAUCCAUCAUGUUGCUCCUUCUUUUGUGACCUGGAACUUUGGCAUGACGCGGAGGAAAUCGCGCUAAGACACUAAAAAGGGACAAUACUGAAUUUGGGCCCUAGCGCGACGCGCCAUAAUCGCGGACCCAUACUAGAAUUUUUGAAAUGCCAUUUCCUCUUGUGGCGUGGCGCGCCACUGACUAAUAUGGCAUUGUUUUAUGACGGGAACUUAAAAUAGUCAUAACUUCUGACUCGGUUAUCAAAUUUGGGCCAAUCGUAUAUUGAUGGAAAGCUUAUUGAAUUUCCCACAUGACAAAACGUGAAAAUCUUGAAAAUUCCUCAUGGAAUAACCAUCAUUCAAUUUAGAAGCUAAUACUAAACAUUCUUGAGAUGAAAUUUACUAGGAAAAGUAUAGGGUAUUACAGAGAUUUUCCAACUACAAGCAACUUUCUCGACACCAACCCAAUACUCAAUGUUCUCAUUAUCCAAUCUUCAGUGUUCAAGAGACAUAUCAUGCUCAACCUCCACCAUAAAGAUAUCAAAAUAGUUCUCUUCGUGCCAAUCAUGAAAGAAAGACUCCUAAAAUUUUCACGUCAUUGGUGGAAUCUCUUACUCGGCUUCUUGAAAGGCUGAAAGAUGCAAAACUACUUCAAUCAAUAGAAGCAAAACCUGUGAACACUUAUAUUAAUUGGUAUGAUCCAAGUAAGCGAUGUUCUUACCACUCUGGAGUUGUUGGAUGUGAUAUAGAGAAAUGUAUCACUCUCAAGCACAAAAUUCAGGACCUGAUUGACAACAAGGUGAUAACGCUUGAAGAAGCUCCAGCUAAUUUUGACAAAAACCCAUUGCCCAAUCACAAGAAGUAGUAAUUGAAAUUAUCAAUUUCUCUUAAAAAGAUGCACUUUUGGUGUCCUUCUAUCCUGCAUUUAAAAGUUAGCAUUUCUUUUCUUUGUAUUCGUACUUUCUCAUUUUAUUUCCUUGUAAUCGCGUUCUAUUGCUUAUUUUCUUGUAAUCGCACUUUAUAAUUUGAUUUCCUUAUAAUUGCAUCCUUGUAGUUAUAAUGAACUACGUUCGACCUGAUUUCUCUUGUGGAAUAUGUAGACGACCUGUAUUGGCUUCGAUCACGUUGUCAAAAGUUUAAAAUAUCCCUUUUAUUUUGUAUGAACUAUGUUUGAUCUGAAUUCUCAAGAAAGGGAUAUGUAGGCGGCCUAUUCAGCUUCGGUCAGCCCCAUAGAAGAUUUAUCUUCUCAUUUUAUGUUAGAACUAGCUUUCCUAUCUCAAUGAAAUGUGUAGGCGCUACGCUGACGCAGUCAUAUUUCUUGUAAAAGUUUCAUAGAAAUUAUGACAAAUUUUUUAGAAGAUCUCAAAAUUCAUCAGAAGAAUCUUUCACUAUAUUGAGUGAAAAUGAUAUUGAAGCAUGUAACUGGGGCAGAAAUUCUUAAGAAGAUCUCAAAAAUUUCACAAAACUUAAUAUUUGCUACGAAGUUGAAAAUUAGACGUUGCUAAAGCUGUGAUCGGCACAUAACAUUUGAAGUUCGCUAUGCUUAAAGUACUCUACGUCAGAAACGGUUCAAGUAUUUUGCAUUUUAGACUAGGGCAGAAUUUUUGAGAAGAUCUCAAAAAUUCCAUACUCAUAGAUGUUGCAAGUUAUAAAAAAGUUUGGGAAUUAUAUGUUAUAGACCGAGGAAGAAUUUUUUAGGAGGAUCUUAAAAACUUCCACAAAAGUUGUACCUCAAGAUCAGAAAAAUUUGCAAAUCAAUGAUCGACAAGGUGCAUCAGGGGAGCAGGACAAUACCAACACAGUUAGUCUCUCAAAACUAAAAAAUUUUCUUUGAAUGCAGGAAUAGUAAAGUCACAAAGCUGAUAACAUUAAGCAUGACACAAGACAUUAUCAGACCCAAUGUGACCCUGCCAUAAUAAUCCAGACAACUUCUCCCUCUAUUUUCCUCUUGAUUUAUGUUUCUAUUACUUUGUUAUGAUCUCUAACACUUUCUUUGAUUUUAUAGGGAAAUGAUCAGUCAUAAAGAUGAAGACGUGGAGAUUAUCCAAACUACUUAUCAUGAGUCAAACAACUUCAUCUUUAUCAUUUCGGACUUGGUUAUAACAAAUUAUUCCAUUAUUAAUGAGUGUUGUUCAAGUUGUACAGGUGACAUUAUGCAGGAUCACCUAUACGAAGUAAUGCAAAAGUAUCUUCUCAAAGUUUGAGGAUUCAAUCCAGAAUCUCAGAACAUGCGCAAGUCCUUUGAAGGACUCCUGAUUCAACGGACGAAGUUCAUCACAUUGGGUUAUCACCCCAUUCAAAGUGACACGUUAUAUUCAAUAUUGGUCGUCCACCUUUCGAUGAGAUAUGCUGGGUCAUCCCCCGUUCAAGUGGCACAUUACAUUUAACAUUGGUUGUCUGCCUUUUAAUGAGACAUGUUGAGUCUUCACCCCAUUCAAGUGACAUGUUAUAUUCAAUGUUGGUCGUCCGUCUUUCAUUGAGACACAUUGGGUCGUCACCCCGUUCAAGUGACAUGUUACAUCCAAUAUUGGUCGUCCUCCUAUCAAUGAGAUACAUUAGGUCGUCACCCCAUUCAAGUGACAUGUUAUUUUCAACAUAGGUCGUCCAUAUUUCAAUGAGACACAUUGGGUCUUUACCCCAUUCAAGUGACAUGUUAUAUUCAAGAUAGAUCGUCCAUCUUUUAAUGGGACACAUUGGGUCGUCACCACGUUCAAGUGACAUGUUAUAGUCUCAAAAUAGGUUGUCCGCCUUUCAAUGAGAUGUGUUGUGUCGUUACCCCAUUCAAGUGACAUGUUAUAUUCAUGAUGGGUCGCCUGCCCUUCAAUGAGACACAUUGGACCGUCACUCUAUUCAAAGUGGCAUGUUGCAUUUUAAAUGGGUCAUCCUCCCUUCAAUGAGACAUGUUGGGUCGUCACCCCGUUAAAGUGACAUGUUACAUUUAACAUUGGUCGUCCGUCUUUCAAUGAGAUACUUUGGGUCGUCACCUCAUUCAAGUGACAUGUUACAUUCAACAUUGGUCGUCCGCCUUUCAAUUAGAUACGUUGGGUCGUCACCCCAUUCAAGUGAUACAUUAUAUUUAAGAUGGGUCGUCCGCCCUUCAAUGAGACAUGUUGGACCAUCAAUCCAUUCAAAGUGGCAUGUUAUAUUAAAGAUGGGUCGUUCAUCCUUCAAUGAGACACGUUGGACCGACAAUCCUUUCAAAGUGGUAUAUUGUAUUUUAAAUGGGUCGUUCGCUCUUCAAUGAGACACAUUGGAUCAUCACUCCAUUCGAGGUGACAUUUUAGAUAAGUCAUUCACUUUUUAUCUAUGCAUGUUAGGUUGUCAACCCGUUCAAAGUGGCAUAAUAUUUUCAGAACAAGUCUGACUAUCUCUGCAUAGCAUGGUCAAACAGGUUUCCGCCAGUUUACGUUUAUGUAAUGCUACAUUUACAACUAACCAUUUGUUUGUGUAGUUGUCAAGAGCAUCCUAAAGGAUGAAAUUCUCAAAUCAAAACCAUAGGUGUGGACGACUCUAAAAAGGACGCAACACAACGUGAAACUUUUUCUUAGCAGCGAACUGGGACAUAGUCUGAAGAGGGAUUCAAACUCUUUGGACGUGAGCUAAAGGACGACUUUCACCACCAUCAAACCACACCCCUAUUAGAAGGCAUGUGGGUAUUUCAAGAUAUUUUUGUCUCGGUUUCACCUCUGGGGAAAAUUCUAAACUCACACCAGAGGUAAUCUUCCCCUUCUUUGAAAAUUAGGUGACAACAAUCCAAGAGCAUUGGAUAUUAUGUCCAUUUAGCUCUUGGUUGCGGGUAUAAGGGGCCCCACAUUUGUGAUUGAGAUAAAUGCAAGCCUCUUUUUCAUAACUCGAUAUAUUUGUCACUCAUCCCGAGCCAAAGAUCAAAAAAAUAAAAGACUAUCUUUUCUAUCGAUCGAGUCGAACUACAAGCAGUCUAAUUUCCUUAAUCAUUGGGAUAUGUAGGCUAAACUCUAUAUAGAAAACUCGAAUGCGUUCCAACCUUUCCCCCAAUCCUCUUUUUCCACAGCUUUUCGGUUUUACCAAAAUUUAAAACUCGAAAUAGCUUAUGAAUUCUUUGAAAAUCGUGUUUUAAAAUCAAGCGUUAUAAACUAUAAGUGGCCUGAAUUCUCAUGUAACCUAAGAUAUGUAGGAAACCCGAUUCUGGGGUCCAACCAUAACUCCGCAAAAACAAUCGUGCGAAAAUCAAUCUUUUUCGAGAGACAAAUUUGUGGUCGAACAAAAUUAGGGACGCCAAACUCCCUUUGCCUAGGGUUACUUGCAUCUACACUAACCAAAUGGAGGACAGUUGUUGACACCUAAUUUUUGUCCUCCACAUCUCAAAUUAAUUUUUUGAAUUUCUCAUAUUUUAAAUAGUUUUAAAAUAUUUAUUUUUAGUUAUUUUAAAAUAAAUUUCAACCCUACCUUUUGAAUUCAGGCAAAAUUGAUAUAUUUAGUGUUUAAUUAUAUAUGAUUAUAUAAUUAUCAGUUAAAGAAAAUACUUUAAAAUUUAUUCAGAGUCAAGAGCUUGAUUAAAUUACAAAUAUUCUACUUCUAUCGAUUGAAAAUAAGAAAUUGAUGACAUAAUUAGUUCCUUGAUUUUUAUUUAUUUAUUAUUAUUAUUAUUGAAAAAAGAUUAUGUUUCAUUAAAUAUUUAUUUUAAAAUUAUUUGAGAAAUUCGUUAAAAGAUAGUUUCAUCUCGACUUUAUCUGAAUUCUUUCAAUUAAGAUUAUUUCAUUAACAUAAAAUAACCUCUCAUUCCUUUUAAAUUGGGCCAACCCUUUCCACCAGCUCAAACCAACCUCCCUUUUAAUUUUAAUUUCAACAAAUACGAGGAAAUUGCAUGUCAUAGACCCAAAUAUGGGUGGCUUUAGAUGUUUGACCCCAAUAAGAAAUGUCUUUAAAAAAUAACCUUCCUUACUUUUUAAGUAUAGUACAAGUACCAUUUUACUCCUUUACACCUCAAAUAUAGUUUUAAAACUUUUCAUACUUAUUUGUCUCUCAAAUUUUAUUUUUUAUUUUUUCUUUAAUUUAUUAUUAUAUUUUUUUAUUAUUUUCACUUUAUUUCUUUAAUUUUAUUAUUUUCACUUUUCAUUUUUUUCCUUUAAUUUUAUUUCAUGUUUUAAUUCAUUUGUCUCAACCUUUAUUUUUUUCUCUUUUUUCUUUUUUCUCAAACAUUAUCUAUUUCUUUCUUUUUCCUUUUUUUUUUAAUUCAUUUGUCUUUAAUCUUUAUUUUUAUUUUCUUUUUUAUUUUUAUCAGUUCUUUUUUUUCCCUCAUUUUUCUCAAAUUUUAUUUUUAUUUUUUCCUCUCAUUUUUUAUUUUUUCAAUUUUUUUAAUUCUUCACUAUUUUCUUAAUCUUUAUUUUUAUCUUUCCUUUUUUUCUCUCACUCUUUUUUUUUUGUUAUUUCUCUAUUUUGUUUGAUAGUUUUUCUCUUUUUUUCCCUUAUUUUUUCAAACUUUAUUUUUAUUUUUCUUAAUUUUUUUAAUUCUUCGCUUUUUUCUUGAUCUUUAUGUUUUUUCUUUCCUUUUUUUAUCUCAAUCUUUUUUUAUUUCUCUAUUUUAUUUGAUCAUUUUUUUUUCUCAACUUCUAUUAUAUUUAACUAAUAAAUAAAAAAUUAGAUAAUCCGCAAAGGGAUCUUCUUUAUUUGACAUCAAAGCAAAUUUAAGGGCAUGAAUUGUUGUUACGAAGUUCUUUGAAAAUUCUUCAGAUAAGUCGUGUCUGUAAGGCGAGAGUUGUAGAAUAUCUCAAAAAUAAAGACAUAAUGUGGUAGUGUCAACUCUUGUUCAUGGGGUAUAAUUUAUUAUUUGAAAGUUCUUGAGCAAAGUCUUGCCUAUAAGGCAAGAGUUGUAGAACAUCCCAUAAAUGAUGACAUUACGGGGUAGUGCCAACUCUUGUGCAUGGGGCAUAAUUUAUUAUUUCAAAGUCCUUGAGCUAAGUCUUGCCUUUAAGGCAAGAGUUACAAAACAUUCCAUAAAUGAAGACAUAACGUGAUAGUUUCAAUUCUUACCCCUGGGGCAUAAUUUGUAGUUUGAAAGUCUUUGAGCUAAGUCUUGCCUCUAAGGCAAAAGUUGUAGAACAUCUCAUAAAUGAAGACAUAAUGUGGCAGUGUCAACUCUUACCCAUGGGGCAUAAGUCAUAGUUUGAAAGUCCUUGAGCUAAGUCUUGCCUCUAAGGUAAUAGUUGUAGAAUAUCUCAUAAAUAAAAACAUAACGUGGUAGAGUCAACGCUUGCCCAUAGGACACAAUUUGUAGUUUGAAAGUCCUUGAGUUAAUUAAGUCUUGCCUCUAAGGAAAUAGUUGUAGAACAUCUCAUAAAUAAAAAUAUGACGUGGUAAAGUCAACUCUUGCCCGUGCGGCAUAAUUUAUAGUUUGAAAGUUCUUGAGCCAAGUCUUGCAUUUAAGGCAAUAGUUGUAGAAUAUCUCAUAAAUGAAAAUAUAAUAUGGUAGAGUUAACUCUUGCCCGUGGAGCAUAAUUUGCAGUUUGAAAAUCCUUAAGUCAAAUCUUGCCUCUAAGGCAAUAGUUGUAGAACAUCUUAUAAAUGAAAACAUAAUGUGGUUGAGUCAACUCUUGCCCAUGGGGUAUAAUUUGUAGUUUGAAAGUCCUUGAGCCAAGUUUUGCCUCUAAGGCAAUAGUUGUAGAACAUCUCAUAAAUGAAAAUAUAACGUGGUACAGUUAACUCUUGACCGUGGGGCAUAAUUUGUAGUUUGAAAGUCCUUGAGCCAAGUCUUGCCUCUAAGGCAAUAGUUGUAAAACUUCUCAUAAAUGAAAAUAUAACAUGGUAGAGUUAACUCUUGCCCGUGAGGAAUAAUUUAUAGUUUGAAAGUCCUUGAGUCAAGUCUUGCCUCUAAGGCAAUAAUUGUAGAAUAUCUCAUAAAUGAAAACAUAAUAUUGUAGAGUCAACACUUGCCUGUAGGACAUAAUUUGUAGUUUGAAAGUACUUGAGUUAAGUCUUGCAUCUAAGGCAAUAGUUGUAGAACAUCUCAUAAAUAAAAAUAUAAUAUGGUAGAGUCAACUCUUGCCCGUGGGGCAUAAUUUGUUGUUUGAAAGUCCUUGAGUUAAGUCUUGUCUCUAAGGCAAUAAUUGUAGAACAUUUCAUAAAUAAAAAUAUAACGUGGUAGAAUCAACUCUUGCCCGUGGGGCAUAAUUUAUUGUUUGAAAGUCCUUAAGCUAAGUCUUGCCUAGAACAUCUCAUAAAUGAAAACACAACGUGAUAGAGUCAACUCUUGCCCGUAGGGCGUAAUUUGUAGUUUGAAAGUCCUUGAGCUAAUUAAGUCUUGCCUCUAAGGCAAUAGUUGUAGAACAUCUUAUAAAUGAAAACAUAACAUGGUAGAAUCAACUCUUGCCGGUGAGGCAUAAUAUUUUGUUUGAAAGUCCUUGAGCCAAGUCUUGCCUCUAAGGCAAUAGUUGUAGAACAUCUUAUAAAUGAAAACAUAACAUGGUAGAAUCAACUCUUGCCGGUGAGGCAUAAUAUUUUGUUUGAAAGUCCUUGAGCCAAGUCUUGCCUCUAAGGCAAUAGUUGUAGAACAACUCAUAAAUGAAAACAUAAUGUGGUAGAGUCAACUUUUGCCCAUGCAGUAUAAUUUAUUGUUUGAAAGUCUCUAUGCUAAGUCUUUCCUCUAAGGUAAGAGUUAUAAAAUAUCUCAUAAAUCUAAAUACAAUAUGGUAAUAUCAACUCUUGCCCAUGAAACAUAACUUGUUGUUUGAAAGUAAUAAGUCUUGCCUCUACAAUGUAGUAGUGUCAACUCUUGCCCAUGAAACGUAGUUGAUUGUUUGAAAGUCGUAAGUCUUGCCUUUAUAAUGUGAUAGUGUCAACUCUUGCUCAAGAGAUGUAACUUGAAUGGAAGAAAUUGAAGAAAAAAACAAAAAUAAUAAAAAUUGCAAAAAAGAAGAAAAUGAAGAAAAAUAUUAAAAAAUAAAAAUCAAAGAAAAUGUAGAAGCUGAGAGAGAACAGAAAAAAAUAAAGGUCGAUAAAAAAAGAAAGAUAAAAUAAAAAUAAAGGUCGAGAAAAAUUUAAAAAGAAAAAAAAAUCAGAGAAAAAUAAAAAAAAAUCUUUUUAUAGAAGUAGACGUUAAAAGGUGUAAAGAAAAAAACUACGGGUUGAGAAAAAAAUAAAAAGAACAAAAACAAAAGGAAAGAAAAAAUAAAAAAGAAAAAAGAAAAAAGAAAAAAGAAAAAAGAAAAAAGAAAAAAGAAAAAAAAAAGAAAAAAGAAAAAAGAAAAAAAAAGAAAUUGAGAGGAAAAAAGGAAAAAAAAAUAAGGAUUAAGAAAAUUAAAAAGAAAAAAUAAAAAUCAAAGUAAAAUUAAAAAGAGAGAAAAAUAAAAGUUUAAAGAUAUAAAUAUGGAGUUGUUAUUCAAUAUGAGGAUCAUUUAUGUAAUGUGCUUCAUUAAUCAGGGAAAAUUUUAUCCAAAAAGAUAUUAGUUAAUAGGUAAAGGUUAUUUUAAGAAAACUUUUUUAUUUGGGGUUAAAAUUUGAAAGUCACCCUAAUUUGAAUCUAUUUCUUAGAUUCACCCAACAAAUACCAGUUUAUCCCAGGCCCACACCCAGUCGGCCCAAUUCCCUCAAUCCCUUACCCUUCAACAAACAACCACAGCCCAUUCCAACAAUCGGUCCACCAUGACCCCAAAACUGACCCGGCCCAACCCAGAUAUAUUUCUCUUUCNNNNNNNNNNNNNNNNNNNNNNNNNNNNNNNNNNNNNCAGCAACAGCAACAGCAACGUACAUCGACAACACCAUCUCAAAACAGCGUACAGCUUCAACAACGUUCAUUCUCAACCAGUCAACAACGGGUAUGAAUUUGAUUUUCAGUCCAUCUUUGGCAUAAAAUCAGAGGUCUUUCAUCAUUCUCAGUCUUUGAUUCACCAAUUUGAGCAAAUAAUCAAUGUCCAACGGCUCUUUUCUUUGUCUUGCCUGUGGAUAUCAAAUUCCCCAAGGAAAUCAAUUCAAAGUCCCAUUUUCAAAUCCGAAACCCUAGACUUUUCCCCCUUCUUUUCCUGUAUAAAUAGUGUUUGAGGGAUAAGGGUUGAGGAAGAGUAUAUUUGGGGAAAAAUUGGAGGUUUUGGAGGCGCGUGCUUCUAAUCUCACUAACCAAAAUUCUCGACGAAUACGCUUCAAAAAUUAGAUUCCGGUGAAGUUGUCGAACUCCGACAAGGAUAGUCGGAACUCCGGUGGUGAGAAUCCGUUAGAUUAAGGCUUGUUGUCCUAGUUCCUGCCCCGGAAAAUGUAAAAAAUCACCAUCGAUCAUUUGAGUUACACUAAGUGUAUGUGGUCAUUUGCCACUGUUUCGCCCCUUUAUUGUGCUUAUCGCUUCUCAAUUCUUAAAUAAUGAACUUCAGAAACAUUAGUUAAGUAAAAUCAUGCCAAGACUUCAGGUGUAAUAAAUUAUUUAUUUUUUAAUUUUUUUUUUGGAUUUGUCUAGUCUUCCUGCUUGUGUGGUUGUUUUGGAUUAUUUCUUUAGGAUAAAUUACUUAAUGAAUCUCUCGUGAAGUAUUGUUUAAAGAAUCUGUUAGAAAUUCGACUAAAGGAAAUUUGGAUUGAAGUUUGUAGCUUUGACACCUUAAGGGCUUCUAGAUAUCAUCUUAGUCAAUAGGGAUCCGAUUUUUGGUGUUAGAUCUCGUUAUUGUGGUAUUUCUUUUAAAUUCAAGUAUAUUUUUAGUUUGAUGGUGGACUUGCUGUUGUAGCUCUAGGUCCAUUUUCUUAUUUUUGUUGAAAUAGGAUCAGUAAGACCUACCCUAAGAUACACCAAAAUCAUUUAUCUUUUACCCUUUUUGCUUUUUCUUUGUGAAACAUAAACUCUCGAAUAGGUUGUACUCUGUAAAUGUGUCACUGCUUUUAAUAAGCAAUUUGAAGUUUGUCAGCGCUCCCAUCUCGAACAAUAGCAAGUACUCUUGUUGUCAUGUAUUUUUUUUUAUAUAUUUAUGAAUAAGAUGUUGCAUAUCUGAUGUCUUUGAGGGAAAAAUUCGGGAGGAGGAACAUUCUCAAUCAAUCAUUUUCUCUUGAAGACAAAAGUGUGAUACUAUUUUGCUUUACUCCACUUGCUUACGUGAAAUCAUUAAAUCACUUGGUUUUUUUUUUUUUUGGUUUUUCUCCAAAUAUGUACCUAGUCAAUAGCAUGUUCUUCAAUUUAAUACUAUUUAAACUUAUUCCUCUCCCAAAGUUCAUGAACAGCACCAUACAUACAUAUGUUGAUCCCCUAGAAUCAUGCAUAUAUUUACUUAAAAUCCGACAGAUGUGCAUUUUGUUGUUCUUAGUUGCUCAUUAUGUUGCAUGUCUCCUUGUCUAUUAAAAAUGGAUUAAAUCAUGUUUGAAUUUGGGUCUUGGUUGGCUAUAGUUUACAUUCCCUUGUCCGCUGUGUUGUUAGAUUGUUCACUGUGUUGUUAGAUUAAAAGCAUGAAGUCCAUGUAUACCAAGGGAUAUUCUUUUCUAUGGGUUGUGUUAUGUUAAGUUUGGAAUUUUGCUUGCAUUAUUUUCUUCCUUUAAAAUGAUUGGUCGUUGUGUGUUGUUAUACAUGUAUAUUUAGUUUGUGCACUUCACUAAUCCUUUUCUUUUUCUUUGCACGCUCCUUCGCCGAGUUCAAUGGACUCCCCUCUUGCAUUUUCAUCGAAUCCAACUCCACGCCAAGUCCCAAACGGACUGAUACAGUGCUGGUAUACAGCAGAUAUAGACCAGAUAUACAAAAACGCUGGAAGAAAAGGGGCUGAUAUACACACAAUAUACACUUCAGAAAAUGGACUGAAGUCCACAAUUCCAAGCCCAAAAAUGGGCAGCUUUGUUUGUUGUCAUCUAUAUUGCAUGACGAUGUUGUCAUCUAUUAACGCCUUAUGUUAUAUUUCUAUUCCGUUUAGAUUACUUAUUUUAUACAACAGUAUUGUAGAUGAUUCAAGUUUGUUUUUAUGCCUUGACUUAGUUAUAUUAUCUUGCAUUUUAUCAUACUUAUAUCAUGGUUUAGCUCACUGCUUGAUGAUGCCUACUGAGUAUCCAUUGUUUUGAUACUCAUACUAUACUUUUAUAUUUUUUGGUGUAGAUCUGAGUACUAGCUGUCACCAUUGAUCGUUGAUCAUGCUGUAUUGAUUUUUCUAUAGAUAGGGUGAGCUCUUAGAGUCGGAAUCACCUAUUUCCCUUUAUCUUGAGAUACUUAGUCUUUUGUUAUCGAGAUAGUUGUUGUUGACUAUUCUAAGUCUUUAUGUUGGAAUACUAUUAGAUUUAGAUGCUCUUGUACUAGCUCUAUCAGGUCGUGGGGUGGUAUCUUGUAUUUACUAUUUUAUCUGUUAGAAUUUUUUGCUUAUUUAUAAGUGUGUUAUUCAUUUUCGCCUAUGAUAGUGCAUUUUUCAUCAAGUUUAACCCAUUGCAUUUGGCUCUGGGAUUUGGUUUGUCUUACUUACUAUCAGGAAAGAGUAGGUGCCAUUAUGACUCAUAAAUUGGGUCACGACAAAUUGAUAUCAGACCCUAGGUAUCACCGGUAUCAUUGGUACUAGAGAAGGUGUUUAUAGAGUCCUGUGGAUCAGAACGAUGAUGUUCGUUUCCUAUCUCGAGAUUACCUAUAACACUCUACAUUUUUGGGUUAGAAUUCUAAUCGUCAUUCCUAUAUGUAUAAGCUCUAAUCUAAAUGAUUACCAUGUGAAUAUAAGUGUCAUGAUAAUUAUCCUAGUGUUAAGAGUGCUUAUGAGGUGAAAGAUGUUCAUAAGAAACACUUGGAGCAAAGUUGAGCUAAGAGCCUUUGAUUCGAUUAAAUUUUGGUAUUCAAUUCUACAAGGGCUAGAUUUGAA
This 38521-nucleotide long non-coding RNA is filed under the name Capsicum annuum. RNAcentral describes it as "long non-coding RNA (CANN_LNC011192)". Lineage: Eukaryota; Viridiplantae; Streptophyta; Magnoliopsida; Solanales; Solanaceae. The record is from RNAcentral.